RNAcentral lists this ribosomal RNA (443 nucleotides) under uncultured soil bacterium. RNAcentral describes it as "bacterial SSU rRNA". It matches the Rfam family "Bacterial small subunit ribosomal RNA", at positions 27 to 518 of the family's 1533-position model. The record is from RNAcentral.
GGAACGAACGCUGGCGGCAUGCCUAACACAUGCAAGUCGAACGAGAUCUUCGGAUCUAGUGGCGCACGGGUGCGUAACGCGUGGGAAUCUACCCUUGGGUUCGGAAUAACAGUUGGAAACGACUGCUAAUACCGGAUGAUGACGUAAGUCCAAAGAUUUAUCGCCCAGGGAUGAGCCCGCGUAGGAUUAGCUAGUUGGUGAGGUAAAGGCUCACCAAGGCGACGAUCCUUAGCUGGUCUGAGAGGAUGAUCAGCCACACUGGGACUGAGACACGGCCCAGACUCCUACGGGAGGCAGCAGUGGGGAAUAUUGGACAAUGGGCGAAAGCCUGACCCAGCAAUGCCGCGUGAGUGAUGAAGGCCUUAGGUGUAAAGCUCUUUUACCCGUGAUGAUAAUGACAGUAGCGGAGAAUAAGCUCCGGCUAACUCCGCGCCAGCAGCCGC